UCGAGAAUCUUCCACAAUGGACGAAAGUCUGAUGGAGCGACGCCGCGUGAUGGAUGAAGACCCUCUGGGUCGUAAACAUCUUUUAUGAGGGAAGAAUUUUAUUGACGGUACCUCAUGAAUAAGGAGCUUCAAAUCUCGUGCCAGCAGAAGCGGUAAUACGAGAGCUCCGAGCGUUAUCCGGAAUUACUGGGCGUAAAGGGUGCGUAGGUUGUGAUGUUAGUCGUUCGUUAAAACUCGAGGCUCAACCUCGAAUGUGCGAGCGAAACGGCAUUACUUGAGAGUGUGAGGGGUGCAUGGAACUCAUGGUGUAGGGGUGAAAUCCGUUGAUAUCAUGGGGAACACCAAAAGCGAAGGCAAUGCACUGGCACAUAUCUGACACUCAAGCACGAAAGCGUGGGUAGCGAAUGGGAUUAGAUACCCCCGUAGUCC
Molecule: ribosomal RNA, 429 nt
Filed under: uncultured bacterium
Lineage: Bacteria
Description: bacterial SSU rRNA
Rfam family: Bacterial small subunit ribosomal RNA
Source: RNAcentral